GUAGUAAUUCUAGAGCUAAUACAUGCGUAAAGUCCCGACUUUUUGGAAGGGAUGUAUUUAUUAGAUUAAAAACCAAUGCAGGCAACUGCUCCUUUGGUGAUUCAUAGUAACUUUAACGGAUCGCACGGCUUCACGCUGGCGACAGUUCAUUCAAAUUUCUGCCCUAUCAGCUUUCGACGGUACUGUAGUGGACUACCGUGGCAUUAACCGGUGACGGAGAAUUAGGGU
RNAcentral lists this ribosomal RNA (228 nucleotides) under Prasinoderma coloniale. RNAcentral's name for it is "partial Eukaryotic small subunit ribosomal RNA". It matches the Rfam family "Eukaryotic small subunit ribosomal RNA", at positions 149 to 376 of the family's 1831-position model. The record is from RNAcentral. Lineage: Eukaryota; Viridiplantae; Prasinodermophyta; Prasinodermophyceae; Prasinodermales; Prasinodermaceae.